This 504-nucleotide ribosomal RNA is filed under the name uncultured bacterium. RNAcentral's name for it is "partial 16S ribosomal RNA". It matches the Rfam family "Bacterial small subunit ribosomal RNA", at positions 29 to 523 of the family's 1533-position model. The record is from RNAcentral.
AUUGAACGCUGGCGGCAGGCCUAACACAUGCAAGUCGGACGGUAGCACAGAGAGCUUGCUCUUGGGUGACGAGUGGCGGACGGGUGAGUAAUGUCUGGGGAUCUGCCCGAUAGAGGGGGAUAACCACUGGAAACGGUGGCUAAUACCGCAUAACGUCGCAAGACCAAAGAGGGGGACCUUCGGGCCUCUCACUAUCGGAUGAACCCAGAUGGGAUUAGCUAGUAGGCGGGGUAAUGGCCCACCUAGGCGACGAUCCCUAGCUGGUCUGAGAGGAUGGCCAGCCAACCUGGAACUGAGACACGGACCAGACUCCUACGGGAGGCAGCAGUCGGGAAUAUUGCACAAUGGGAGCAAGCCUGAUGCAGCCAUGCCGCGUGUAUGAAGAAGGCCUUCGGGUUGUAAAGUACUUUCAGCGGGGAGGAAGGCGACGCGGUUAAUAACCGCGUCGAUUGACGUUACCCGCAGAAGAAGCACCGGCUAACUCCGUGCCAGCCGCCGCCGUAA